This 861-nucleotide ribosomal RNA is filed under the name uncultured Gemmatimonadota bacterium. RNAcentral describes it as "bacterial SSU rRNA". It matches the Rfam family "Bacterial small subunit ribosomal RNA", at positions 58 to 910 of the family's 1533-position model. The record is from RNAcentral. Lineage: Bacteria; Pseudomonadati; Gemmatimonadota.
CAAGUCAAGGGGGCGGAGCAAUCCGCAACCGGCGAACGGGUGCGUAACACGUGAGCAACCUACCCUCGUGUGGGGGAUAGCCGGGCUAACGCCCGGGUAAUACCGCAUACGUGUCUUCCGGGGGGUCCUGGGAGACGGAAAGUCUUCGGACGCACGGGGAGGGGCUCGCGGCCUAUCAGCUAGUUGGGGGGGUAACGGCCCACCAAGGCGACGACGGGUAGCUGGUCUGAGAGGAUGGCCAGCCACAUUGGGACUGAGAGACGGCCCAGACUCCUACGGGAGGCAGCAGUGGGGAAUCUUGCGCAAUGGCCGAAAGGCUGACGCAGCGACGCCGCGUGUGGGAGGACGCCUUUCGGGGUGUAAACCACUGUUGCCCGGGACGAACAGCAUCUUUCGAGAUGCCUGACGGUACCGGGUGAGGAAGCACCGGCUAACUCCGUGCCAGCAGCCGCGGUAAUACGGAGGGUGCGAGCGUUGUCCGGAAUCAUUGGGCGUAAAGGGCGCGUAGGUGGCCCCUCAAGCGGGCGGUGAAAGUCGGGGGCUCAACCCCCGAUCGGCCGUGCGAACUGGGGGGCUGGAGCACUGUAGAGGCAGGCGGAAUUCCGGGUGUAGCGGUGGAAUGCGUAGAGAUCCGGAAGAACACCGGUGGCGAAGGCGGCCUGCUGGGCAGUAGCCGAAAGGCUUUCAAGCUGACACUGAGGCGCGACAGCGUGGGGAGCAAACAGGAUUAGAUACCCUGGUAGUCCACGCCGUAAACGAUGGGCACUAGGCGCUUGGGGGAGCGACCCCUCGAGGGCCGGCGCUAACGCAUUAAGUGCCCCGCCUGGGGAGUACGGCCGCAAGGCUGAAACUCAAAGGAAU